Molecule: long non-coding RNA, 623 nt
Filed under: Mus musculus (house mouse)
Lineage: Eukaryota; Metazoa; Chordata; Mammalia; Rodentia; Muridae
Description: predicted gene 20717
Source: RNAcentral
GUCCCAAGUCAGAGCCCACACAGGGUCAGCCACUGAGCACAUUGCAGUGGAGGAUGGUGAAUGUCAGGGAGAGCUUUUUCUGUUGGACUCAGACUGGCACUGAGCUGGGACUGACCAGUUCUGCUGUGGACCACAGACACUGACAACCCGGAGCCAUCAGAGUUCCUCUGAGCAUUUACCCAAGUCUAACAGAGGCCUGCUGGCAGGAGGCGUUCACAAGGUCUUAAUGAAGCAGGCGCUUCAGAUGGGGCUUCACGACUCUAAAGGCAAGUGUCCCUGCUCUGCGUGACAGAUGCCAUCCCAGGAAAGGCUGCCUGUGCUACCGCCUUGUGAGGGGCCAUCUGAAGCGCGACCUCACCCUGCCCUUACACAACCUCAGCCUACAGAUGAGCGCUCCGUGCGGCAUCCUCUUGGGGAGUCACAGCUGCCUGAUCAGUCACCCCUGAACACAGAUGACCCACCCCACCGCAGCUACAGAAGGAAGAGUAAGAAUGCACCCAGGCUGGAGGUGACUGAUGGUAUGGAGAGCCACUUUGACAUGUAUUCACCCAUUUAAAUGCUCUGAAAUAGGACUGUGGUAAUUUGGCUGAUCUCACUGGGUUAGAGACUAAAAGAGAGAGUUC